GAUGAACGCUAGCUACAGGCUUAACACAUGCAAGUCGAGGGGUAACGAGAGGAAAGCUUGCUUUCCUUGUCGACGACCGGCGCACGGGUGAGUAACGCGUAUCCAACCUGCCCCCAACUAGGGAAUAACCUUGCGAAAGUAAGACUAAUACCCUAUAAUUUCCUCAGAUGUCAUCUGACGAUGAAUAAAGAUUUAUCGGUUGCGGAUGGGGAUGAGUCUGAUUAGCUUGUUGGCGGGGUAAAGGCCCACCAAGGCAACGAGCAGUAGGGGUUCUGAGAGGAAGGUCCCCCACAUUGGAACUGAGACACGGUCCAAAUGCCUACGGGAGGCCGCAGUGAGGAAUAUUGGUCAAUGGGCGGAAGCCUGAACCAGCCAAGUAGCGUGCAGGAUGACGGCCCUAUGGGUUGUAAACUGCUUUUAUACAGGAAUAAAGUUAGCCACGUGUGGUUAUUUGUAGGUACUGUAUGAAUAAGGACCGGCUAAUUCCGUGCCAGCCGCCGCGGUAA
This 506-nucleotide ribosomal RNA is filed under the name uncultured bacterium. RNAcentral's name for it is "partial 16S ribosomal RNA". It matches the Rfam family "Bacterial small subunit ribosomal RNA", at positions 28 to 523 of the family's 1533-position model. The record is from RNAcentral.